UUAAGCGACUAAGCGUACACGGUGGAUGCCCUGGCAGUCAGAGGCGAUGAAGGACGUUCUAAUCUGCGAUAAGCGUCGGUAAGGUGAUAUGAACCGUUAUAACCGGCGAUUUCCGAAUGGGGAAACCCAGUGUGUUUCGACACACUAUCAUUAACUGAAUCCAUAGGUUAAUGAGGCGAACCGGGGGAACUGAAACAUCUAAGUACCCCGAGGAAAAGAAAUCAACCGAGAUUCCCCCAGUAGCGGCGAGCGAACGGGGAGGAGCCCAGAGCCUGAAUCAGUGUGUGUGUUAGUGGAAGCGUCUGGAAAGGCGCGCGAUACAGGGUGACAGCCCCGUACACAAAAAUGCACAUGCUGUGAGCUCGAUGAGUAGGGCGGGACACGUGGUAUCCUGUCUGAAUAUGGGGGGACCAUCCUCCAAGGCUAAAUACUCCUGACUGACCGAUAGUGAACCAGUACCGUGAGGGAAAGGCGAAAAGAACCCCGGCGAGGGGAGUGAAAAAGAACCUGAAACCGUGUACGUACAAGCAGUGGGAGCACGCUUAGGCGUGUGACUGCGUACCUUUUGUAUAAUGGGUCAGCGACUUAUAUUCUGUAGCAAGGUUAACCGAAUAGGGGAGCCGAAGGGAAACCGAGUCUUAACUGGGCGUUAAGUUGCAGGGUAUAGACCCGAAACCCGGUGAUCUAGCCAUGGGCAGGUUGAAGGUUGGGUAACACUAACUGGAGGACCGAACCGACUAAUGUUGAAAAAUUAGCGGAUGACUUGUGGCUGGGGGUGAAAGGCCAAUCAAACCGGGAGAUAGCUGGUUCUCCCCGAAAGCUAUUUAGGUAGCGCCUCGUGAACUCAUCUCCGGGGGUAGAGCACUGUUUCGGCAAGGGGGUCAUCCCGACUUACCAACCCGAUGCAAACUGCGAAUACCGGAGAAUGUUAUCACGGGAGACACACGGCGGGUGCUAACGUCCGUCGUGAAGAGGGAAACAACCCAGACCGCCAGCUAAGGUCCCAAAGUCAUGGUUAAGUGGGAAACGAUGUGGGAAGGCCCAGACAGCCAGGAUGUUGGCUUAGAAGCAGCCAUCAUUUAAAGAAAGCGUAAUAGCUCACUGGUCGAGUCGGCCUGCGCGGAAGAUGUAACGGGGCUAAACCAUGCACCGAAGCUGCGGCAGCGACGCUGAUGCGUUGUUGGGUAGGGGAGCGUUCUGUAAGCCUGUGAAGGUGUGCUGUGAGGCAUGCUGGAGGUAUCAGAAGUGCGAAUGCUGACAUAAGUAACGAUAAAGCGGGUGAAAAGCCCGCUCGCCGGAAGACCAAGGGUUCCUGUCCAACGUUAAUCGGGGCAGGGUGAGUCGACCCCUAAGGCGAGGCCGAAAGGCGUAGUCGAUGGGAAACAGGUUAAUAUUCCUGUACUUGGUGUUACUGCGAAGGGGGGACGGAGAAGGCUAUGUUGGCCGGGCGACGGUUGUCCCGGUUUAAGCGUGUAGGCUGGUUUUCCAGGCAAAUCCGGAAAAUCAAGGCUGAGGCGUGAUGACGAGGCACUACGGUGCUGAAGCAACAAAUGCCCUGCUUCCAGGAAAAGCCUCUAAGCAUCAGGUAACAUCAAAUCGUACCCCAAACCGACACAGGUGGUCAGGUAGAGAAUACCAAGGCGCUUGAGAGAACUCGGGUGAAGGAACUAGGCAAAAUGGUGCCGUAACUUCGGGAGAAGGCACGCUGAUAUGUAGGUGAAGUCCCUCGCGGAUGGAGCUGAAAUCAGUCGAAGAUACCAGCUGGCUGCAACUGUUUAUUAAAAACACAGCACUGUGCAAACACGAAAGUGGACGUAUACGGUGUGACGCCUGCCCGGUGCCGGAAGGUUAAUUGAUGGGGUCAGCGCAAGCGAAGCUCUUGAUCGAAGCCCCGGUAAACGGCGGCCGUAACUAUAACGGUCCUAAGGUAGCGAAAUUCCUUGUCGGGUAAGUUCCGACCUGCACGAAUGGCGUAAUGAUGGCCAGGCUGUCUCCACCCGAGACUCAGUGAAAUUGAACUCGCUGUGAAGAUGCAGUGUACCCGCGGCAAGACGGAAAGACCCCGUGAACCUUUACUAUAGCUUGACACUGAACAUUGAGCCUUGAUGUGUAGGAUAGGUGGGAGGCUUAGAAGUGUGGACGCCAGUCUGCAUGGAGCCGACCUUGAAAUACCACCCUUUAAUGUUUGAUGUUCUAACGUUGACCCGUAAUCCGGGUUGCGGACAGUGUCUGGUGGGUAGUUUGACUGGGGCGGUCUCCUCCUAAAGAGUAACGGAGGAGCACGAAGGUUGGCUAAUCCUGGUCGGACAUCAGGAGGUUAGUGCAAUGGCAUAAGCCAGCUUGACUGCGAGCGUGACGGCGCGAGCAGGUGCGAAAGCAGGUCAUAGUGAUCCGGUGGUUCUGAAUGGAAGGGCCAUCGCUCAACGGAUAAAAGGUACUCCGGGGAUAACAGGCUGAUACCGCCCAAGAGUUCAUAUCGACGGCGGUGUUUGGCACCUCGAUGUCGGCUCAUCACAUCCUGGGGCUGAAGUAGGUCCCAAGGGUAUGGCUGUUCGCCAUUUAAAGUGGUACGCGAGCUGGGUUUAGAACGUCGUGAGACAGUUCGGUCCCUAUCUGCCGUGGGCGCUGGAGAACUGAGGGGGGCUGCUCCUAGUACGAGAGGACCGGAGUGGACGCAUCACUGGUGUUCGGGUUGUCAUGCCAAUGGCACUGCCCGGUAGCUAAAUGCGGAAGAGAUAAGUGCUGAAAGCAUCUAAGCACGAAACUUGCCCCGAGAUGAGUUCUCCCUGACCCUUUAAGGGUCCUGAAGGAACGUUGAAGACGACGACGUUGAUAGGCCGGGUGUGUAAGCGCAGCGAUGCGUUGAGCUAACCGGUACUAAUGAACCGUGAGGCUUAACCUU
RNAcentral lists this ribosomal RNA (2902 nucleotides) under Escherichia coli 2-005-03_S1_C1. RNAcentral describes it as "bacterial LSU rRNA". It matches the Rfam family "Bacterial large subunit ribosomal RNA". Lineage: Bacteria; Pseudomonadati; Pseudomonadota; Gammaproteobacteria; Enterobacterales; Enterobacteriaceae. RNAcentral also lists the same sequence under 1 other name. The record is from RNAcentral.